This 74-nucleotide transfer RNA is filed under the name Ignavibacteria bacterium. RNAcentral's name for it is "tRNA-Pro". It matches the Rfam family "tRNA". Rfam says of the family: Transfer RNA (tRNA) molecules are approximately 80 nucleotides in length. The record is from RNAcentral. RNAcentral also lists the same sequence under 2 other names. Lineage: Bacteria; Pseudomonadati; Ignavibacteriota; Ignavibacteria.
CGGGGCGUAACUCAGCCCGGUAGAGUGCCAGUUUUGGGAACUGGACGUCGCAUGUUCGAAUCAUGUCGCCCCGA